GUUAUAUGGUCAAGCGAAUAAGCGCACACGGUGGAUGCCUUGGCGGUCAGAGGCGAUGAAGGACGUGGCAGCCUGCGAAAAGUAUCGGGGAGCUGGCAACAAGCUUUGAUCCGGUAAUGUCCGAAUGGGGAAACCCACCCGCUUGCGGGUAUCCUGCAGUGAAUACAUAGCUGCUGGAAGCGAACCUGGUGAACUGAAAUAUCUAAGUAACCAGAGGAAAAGAAAUCAACCGAGAUUCCGUAAGUAGCGACGAGCGAACGCGGACUAGCCCUUAAGCUGAUUUGGUUCUAGGAAAACGCUCUGGAAAGAGUGGCCAUAGAAGGUGAUAGCCCUGUAUCUGAAAGGGCCAUUUCAGUGAAGACGAGUAGGGCGGGGCACGUGAAACCCUGUCUGAACAUGGGGGGACCAUCCUCCAAGGCUAAAUACUACUGACCGACCGAUAGUGAACCAGUACCGUGAGGGAAAGGCGAAAAGAACCCCGGAGAGGGGAGUGAAAUAGAACCUGAAACCGUGUGCGUACAAGCAGUAGGAGCUCCGCAAGGAGUGACUGCGUACCUUUUGUAUAAUGGGUCAGCGACUUACUGUUCGUGGCAAGCUUAACCGUAUAGGGGAGGCGAAGGGAAACCGAGUCUGAUAAGGGCGCAUAGUCGCGGGCAGUAGACCCGAAACCGGGUGAUCUAGUCAUGCCCAGGGUGAAGGUGCGGUAACACGCACUGGAGGCCCGAACCCACUCCCGUUGCAAAGGUAGGGGAUGAGGUGUGAUUAGGAGUGAAAAGCUAAUCGAACCCGGAGAUAGCUGGUUCUCCUCGAAAGCUAUUUAGGUAGCGCCUCAUAUGUAUCCUCUCGGGGGUAGAGCACUGUUAUGGCUAGGGGGUCAUCGCGACUUACCAAACCAUUGCAAACUCCGAAUACCGAGACGGACUGUAUGGGAGACACACGGCGGGUGCUAACGUCCGUCGUGAAAAGGGAAACAACCCAGACCCACAGCUAAGGUCCCAAAUUUUGUGCUAAGUGGAAAACCAUGUGGAAAGGCACAGACAGCCAGGAGGUUGGCUUAGAAGCAGCCACCCUUUAAAGAAAGCGUAAUAGCUCACUGGUCGAGUCGGUCUGCGGGGAAGAUUUAACGGGGCUAAGCACAGAACCGAAGCUUGGGGUGCAUAACUUUGUUAUGCGCGGUAGAGGAGCGUUCCGUAAGCCGUUGAAGGUGGAUUGAGAAGUCUGCUGGAGGUAUCGGAAGUGCGAAUGCUGACAUGAGUAACGAUAAUGCGGGUGAAAAACCCGCACGCCGAAAGCCCAAGGUUUCCUUGCGCAACGUUAAUCGGCGCAGGGUGAGUCGGCCCCUAAGGCGAGGACGAAAGUCGUAGUCGAUGGGAAGCAGGUUAAUAUUCCUGCACCUCGCGUAAGUGCGAUGGAGGGACGGAGAAGGUUAGGUGUACCAGGCGUUGGUUGUCCUGGGGAAAGGCGGUAGGUUUGGAUCUUUGGCAAAUCCGGGAUCCUUCAAGACCGAGCACCGAGACGAGCCUUUAUGGCGAAGUCACUGAUACCACGCUUCCAGGAAAAGCUCCUAAGCUUCAGCUUACGCAGACCGUACCGUAAACCGACACAGGUGGGUAGGAUGAGAAUUCUCAGGCGCUUGAGAGAACUCGGGUGAAGGAACUAGGCAACAUGGCACCGUAACUUCGGGAGAAGGUGCACCCUUUUUGGUGGCUCGUGCGAGCUAUAGCUGAAGAGGGUCGCAGUAACCAGGCCGCUGCGACUGUUUAUCAAAAACACAGCACUCUGCAAACACGAAAGUGGACGUAUAGGGUGUGACGCCUGCCCGGUGCUGGAAGGUUAAUUGAUGGGGUCAGCCGCAAGGCGAAGCUCUUGAUCGAAGCCCCAGUAAACGGCGGCCGUAACUAUAACGGUCCUAAGGUAGCGAAAUUCCUUGUCGGGUAAGUUCCGACCUGCACGAAUGGCGUAACGACAGCGGCGCUGUCUCCACCCGAGACUCAGUGAAAUUGAAAUCGCUGUGAAGAUGCAGCGUUCCCGUGGCAAGACGGAAAGACCCCGUGAACCUUUACUAUAGCUUUACACUGAACGUUGAGUUCGUCUGUGUAGGAUAGGUGGGAGGCUAUGAAACCAUGGCGCUAGCUGUGGUGGAGCCAUCCUUGAAAUACCACCCUGUCGUGCUUGACGUUCUAACCUGGGCCCAUUAUCUGGGUCGGGGACCGUGUAUGGUGGGUAGUUUGACUGGGGCGGUCUCCUCCUAAAGAGUAACGGAGGAGCUCGAAGGUACGCUCAGCGCGGUCGGACAUCGCGCACUGUGUGCAAAGGCAUAAGCGUGCUUGACUGCAAGAUCGACGGAUCAAGCAGGUAGGAAACUAGGACUUAGUGAUCCGGUGGUUCUGUAUGGAAGGGCCAUCGCUCAACGGAUAAAAGGUACUCCGGGGAUAACAGGCUGAUACCGCCCAAGAGUUCAUAUCGACGGCGGUGUUUGGCACCUCGAUGUCGGCUCAUCACAUCCUGGGGCUGUAGUCGGUCCCAAGGGUAUGGCUGUUCGCCAUUUAAAGUGGUACGCGAGCUGGGUUCAGAACGUCGUGAGACAGUUCGGUCCCUAUCUGCCAUGGGCGUUGGAGAUUUGAGAGGGGCUGCUCCUAGUACGAGAGGACCGGAGUGGACGAACCUCUGGUGUUCCGGUUGUCACGCCAGUGGCAUUGCCGGGUAGCUAUGUUCGGAAGCGAUAACCGCUGAAAGCAUCUAAGCGGGAAGCGCGCCUCAAGAUGAGAUCUCCCGGGGCACAAGCCCCCUGAAGGAACCAUGUAGACUACGUGGUUGAUAGGUCAGGUGUGUAAGUACAGCAAUGUAUUGAGCUAACUGAUACUAAUGAUCCGUGCGGCUUGACCAUAUAACCU
RNAcentral lists this ribosomal RNA (2894 nucleotides) under Stenotrophomonas maltophilia. RNAcentral describes it as "bacterial LSU rRNA". It matches the Rfam family "Bacterial large subunit ribosomal RNA". The record is from RNAcentral. Lineage: Bacteria; Pseudomonadati; Pseudomonadota; Gammaproteobacteria; Lysobacterales; Lysobacteraceae.